GGACUCCUUUUUGAUUUUGUGGCCAAAUUCUGGUCUUUUUUGUGGACACAGCUUGUGACACUAAUUGAGUGUCUUAUUUUGACGAGCAGAAACAAUGUCGUAUGCUCCUGCAUUGGUGAUGUCGGUCUUUGUGGCUGCAGAAGCCCUCCCACCCCAACCCACGGAAGCACUCCCACCCCAACCGCCAGCCCCCCAACCACAACCGGCUCCUCAUCAACCAAGGCAACGGAGGCGUGCUAGGCCACCAAUUUUCCGCACCCGUGUCCUACUUUUUGGGAUGCCAGAUGAUGUGGUUGUGCGUAGAUACAGGCUGCCACCACAUCUAA
Molecule: long non-coding RNA, 326 nt
Organism: Pseudophryne corroboree (corroboree frog)
Lineage: Eukaryota; Metazoa; Chordata; Amphibia; Anura; Myobatrachidae
Exons: 3
Source: RefSeq, a predicted model, not a curated record